RNAcentral lists this ribosomal RNA (444 nucleotides) under uncultured bacterium. RNAcentral's name for it is "SSU rRNA". It matches the Rfam family "Bacterial small subunit ribosomal RNA", at positions 26 to 518 of the family's 1533-position model. The record is from RNAcentral.
AGAACGAACGCUGGCGGCAGGCUUAACACAUGCAAGUCGAGCGCCCAGCAAUGGGAGCGGCGGACGGGUGAAUAACGCGUGGGAAUAUGCCCUUUGGUACGGAACAACUCAGGGAAACUUGAGCUAAUACCGUAUGAGCCGGUAACGGGAAAGAUUUAUCGCCAAAGGAUUAGCCCGCGUCCGAUUAGCUAGUUGGUGAGGUAACGGCCCACCAAGGCACCGAUCGGUAGCUGGUCUGAGAGGACGACCAGCCACACUGGGACUGAGACACGGCCCAGACUCCUACGGGAGGCAGCAGUGGGGAAUCUUGGACAAUGGGGGCAACCCUGAUCCAGCCAUGCCGCGUGAGUGAUGAAGGCCUUAGGGUUGUAAAACUCUUUCGACGGGGACGAUAAUGACGGUACCCGUAGAAGAAGCUCCGGCUAACUUCGUGCCAGCAGCCGC